This 254-nucleotide ribosomal RNA is filed under the name uncultured bacterium. RNAcentral describes it as "partial 16S ribosomal RNA". It matches the Rfam family "Bacterial small subunit ribosomal RNA", at positions 524 to 776 of the family's 1533-position model. The record is from RNAcentral.
UACGUAGGGCGCAAGCGUUUGUCCGGAAUUAUUGGGCGUAAAGAGCUCGUAGGCGGUCUGUCGCGUCCGUUGUGAAAACUCGAGGCUCAACCUCGGGCUUGCAGUGGAUACGGGCAGACUAGAGUGCGGUAGGGGAGACUGGAAUUCCUGGUGUAGCGGUGGAAUGCGCAGAUAUCAGGAGGAACACCGGUGGCGAAGGCGGGUCUCUGGGCCGUAACUGACGCUGAGGAGCGAAAGCGUGGGGAGCGAACAGG